CCCGUUCCUGAAACACGGACCAAGGAGUCUAGAAUGUGCGCGAGUCAAAGGGCUGGCUAAACCCAAAGGCGUAACGAAAGUGAAUGGGAACGCGAAAACCGGGAUGGGUGUGGGGUCGGCGGCUAGGUGGUGAAGGUGACUGAUCCAUCGAAACGCUCUUCCCUCCACUCUCCCGCGAAGCGUUCCUUAGGACCGAUCCGGUUCGACGCACGGAAGAGAUUUAGUAGUAGUGGGUAGCGCGGGGUUUCGGCUCCGUCUAACUAUCCAUCUACCUAUCUCCCUUUCCUCUACGUCGUUUGCCUCGCUACCCGUAGGAGGACGGCGCAGGUCCGGGGCUCGCUAGCUUCCUCCCCGCUAACGCUAACGUCGUAGCUUUCCCGGUCGUACGGGGGUUUAAAGCUCCUACUCCGUCUUAGGACGUUCGUCUCUCGCGUAUCAGGCGUGUCUCUCUCCUCUUCCUCCCCGUCAAAAGGGAACGAAUGAGAGGGAACGGUUGUGCGCGGCGAGCUCGUCUCGUUCCGACAGGCGGGUCGAAGUAGGGGCCCCUCUCGAUCGCGGACUACGUCUCGCGGGCGCUGGGACGAGCGGCGGGUACCUUGAGCGCACAUUCUAGUACCCGAAAGAUGGUGAUCUAUGCCUGGCGAGGACGAAGCCAGAGGAAACUCUGGUGGAGGUCCGUAGCGAUUCUGACGUGCAAAUCG
This 701-nucleotide ribosomal RNA is filed under the name Colchidoniscus kutaissianus. Its description in RNAcentral is "partial large subunit ribosomal RNA". It matches the Rfam family "Eukaryotic large subunit ribosomal RNA", at positions 647 to 900 of the family's 3401-position model. Lineage: Eukaryota; Metazoa; Arthropoda; Malacostraca; Isopoda; Trichoniscidae. The record is from RNAcentral.